AUUUGAGGCUUCUAUCUGCUCCAAAAGGAACUCUAAAUCUUCCUUAUGAAGGCACUGACAUUUAGUUUGGCACAUUUUCAGAUACUAGAAAAAGAACCAUGACUUGACAAAAAAAAAAAAAAAAAAGUUUAGUUAAUACAAAGCAGAAGAGGCAAUUAUUUCAAGCCAUUUAGAGAAUAAUUUGAACAUAAAUGUGCAAAUAUAUAAGUUUUUAGGUGCUGAGAUUUCUUUUUUUUUUCCUGUCAGUGAACACCGUGUACAUCAAGGAAGAUAAUUACAACUUUUUCAAGUCUUCUAAAAUCGACCUAACCUCUUAGGUUAUUUCCUGGCCUCCCUUCUGUGACCUUUGACCAAGGCCAACCUUUAGCUGGAGAAUGUGACAUUUUGUUCUCCUCUGGCUGACAUGUGAUGCUCUCAUUAUUCAAAGUUUUGUUCCCAAAGAUCAAUAAAUUACUCUAUAGGACAUAAUAACUCAAUGUGUAUCCUCAAAUGAAAUUGAAAUUCCUUCCAUAUACAUAAAAUCUGCAAAGGAAUUUAUUUCAGUAGGAUAAUAGUUAAUUUAUAGUGUGAAGUUCAAAAAGGCAGAAGAAGAUAACAACUCAAUUUAGGUAAAGAUGUAGCACAUAUAAGCUGGAGGAAAAUCAAUGUCAAAUAGAAAACCAUAUCUGAAAUUCAGAUCAUAUUUAGAUGCACAAAAAACUGUUCAGAGCAGUAGGGGGUGAUUGUAUAAUAGGCACUUUUCAACAUUAAAUGUCUUGGCCAAAAAUGCAUUUUAAAAUUAAGAAUCAUUUAAAUUAUACAACCACCAAAAAAAAAAAAAAAAAAAGAAAGUGUCUCUCGUCUCUGAGGUCUUUCCUGAUUCAUCAAAAUGUAUUAGGAAAGAAAAGUGACUGUCUUGGCAAAGAACCACAGUAUUUUGCUGCAUUUGUUUGUUUUUAUUAACACAACUCAUAUUUGAAAUAAAAACACAUUUUAUAGAGGAGUGCAGUGAUGUUCUCAGACAAAGUCAGACCGCAGGCUGGCAAUAUGUCAAGCUCAUCUGAGGCAAAUUCCAGUUUGUCAUGGGAAAAAAAAAGUGUUCAUUUUCUUCUGGGAUUCAAUGAAUUAAGCAAAAGCCCACUCUUUUCCUUCUGGUUUUUGCAAAUGUGUCAUCUGAUCUAAAUGGAACAGGUGUGGUGGUGUGUGCCUGUGGUCCUAGCUACUUGGGGGUAGGAGAAUCGCUUGAGCCUGUUAUGUAGAGGUUGCAGUGAGCCAAAAUUGAUUAUCUCCUUUUGAUAUCUCUGCUUAGAGGAAUACAGAAUGUGGCCACAUGUUACUCUUCUACCAAUGUCAGGAUAAAGCAUGCAUUAGGAUCCCUCAGUGGAGAACUAUGUCCAUUCCAUGCUCCUUCCAACUAGUUUGAGAAAUGGCUCCAAAUUUUCCUUAAUAUUAUUCUGAAUUGCUCUAUGAAGUAAAUGUCAGGCAUUUUAUUUCCAUUUCCCUAAAAUAGAGAAUGGGUUGCUAGGGAAAAUGCCUAAGCCAGCCAUAAAGCAUUUCCAAAGGGAGGACAUAGUGAAUAAAAAAUGUUAAUUCCUGUCUUGUUUAACAAGCUCUCAUGGCAGCUCCAAGGGGUAGUAAAAUUUAUACUCCUACCAGGACAGCUCUAGACUAUGGCAUCAGCAUGGGAUGGAAAGUAGCCCUGGGAAACAGAAUAGUGUGGUUGCCUGCUACCCUUUACUUAUCUGAAUAGUUUGUCUCUGCUGUGCCCAGGAGGUUUGCACCUCAUGGGGUGGGAGGUGGUGCAAUCAGGUAAGAAUGCUCUUUACUUACUCCUUUGUCGGAAAAAGGAUGACUGUAAUGUGUGGGCUGGAGUGGAGUGGAACUGAGUUUAAAAUCUGCAGUAACAUAAAAUUAAAGACUAGGUAUUAACAAUGGCUUUGCACUCUGAGUUGCCAUGGGCUGAGAGGGACAGCUGGACAGCCAGAGGGAUUCCAGAGGGACUUGGCAGGACAGAGCAGUGUAAGCCAUCUUACUGCCUCGAAAAACACAGGUAGGAGCACAUCAGACUUCAGUAACACAGGAUUUAUCUCAGUAUCCAUUUUUUCUGAUUCUCAGUUUUCUUAUCCAUAAAAUAGAUUAAAUAAUAUAUGCUUUGUGAGGUUCUUGUGAAGAUUAAAUGAGAUGAAAAAUGCAAAGUGCUGGAGGAACACCUGCAGGAGCUCUAUCCAUGAAAAACUGUUGGCCGGGCACGGUGGCUCACGCCUGUAAUCCCAGCACUCUGGGAGGCCGAGGCGGGUGGAUCACAAAACUGAUGAGUGUACAAGCCACACUUAAGAAUUUGUGAUCGGCCGGGCGCGGUGGCUCACGCCUGUAAUCCCAGCACUUUGGGAGGCCGAGGCGGGCGGAUCACGAGGUCAGGAGAUCGAGACCAUCCUGGCUAACACGGUGAAACCCCGUCUCUACUAAAAAUACAAAAAAUUAGCAGGGCGUGGUAGCGGGCGCCUGUAGUCCCAGCUACUCGGGAGGCUGAGGCAGGAGAAUGGCGUGAACCCGGGAGGCGGAGCUUGCAGUGAGCCGAGAUCGCGCCACUGCACUCCAGCCUGGGCGACAGAGCGAGACUCCGUCUCAAAAAAAAAACUGACAUGUCUAUAAUGAACUUCAUUGCUGCUUUUUAAAAAUUUUUCCUUUUGAUAAGAAAUUAAAGACUGAUUUCCUCUCUACAAAAGAAAAUGCCACUUUAUUCCCCAUACACACCCUCUCUCUUAGUAAAACAACUCUGAUUUUUAUAGCUGGGCAUCUUGCCACCCAGUUAAAGAUGUAUUCCCUUGCAGCUAAAUAAGGCCAAGUGACUAUGCUCUUGCCAAUAAUAUGUAAACUGAAGUGUAGCAAGGUACUUUUGGGAAGUCUCUUUAAAAAGCAUCAUUUCUUUUGUAUUUGUCCCUUCAUCUUCCUGCUACUCAAGAUGUGCAUAUAAUGGCAGGCACUUCUGUAGGCAUUUUGGAUCAUGAAAUGUCUUUGAUGGAAACUAAGAAAAGUAGAGAAACAGAAUUGAAGGUUUCACAAUUCUAAAACCUUUGUAAAAGUUUUGUAAAAGGUUUUACAAUUGAAGGUAAUUAAUAUUACACUAUUAAUUAUAGUAAAGGUCAUGCUUCUGUGGAAAAAAAAAAGAGUCCCUUGACAUGAUGGUUCAAACAAGUUAGGAAAGGCAGACUGUGCUUCUCAAAAUCAGCCAGAGAAUCAGACUGGCUGAGCACACUGCCAUCCUCAAUGCAUGGCUUCUAGAUUGCUUUAGCCUUUAUCAUUUGAAGCCAAUAGGAAGCAAGGAGAACAUCAAAGCACAUAAUUAAUGACCGAAAGCAUCCAUCACUUCUGCUCAAAUCAUUUUGGGAAUGUCAUAGUCUUCUUGAUCACACUUGAAUGCUGGGGAAGCUAAGCAGUGUAGUACAACUGGACAAUCAGUUCCUGUGUCCAAGAACUUUUUAAAGACAGUAGGGUAGAAUGCUUACUUGUAAUCAAAAAGCAGUCUCCACCAAAACUGUAGGUCUUCAUAUUCUAUCCAGAUGGUAAAAAGUUAACUUUUCUCUUGUUUAGCUUACUACACGCCGGGCCUUUAUUAUUUAUAGUUGAACAUCAUCUUCAUUGAUAUACCCCUUUUAUGUUUUUUCAAUGAACCUCAUCUGUAAAUCAUUAACUGGAUUAUUAGAUAAGUGCUAAAUAAUCCCCAGCUGUAAAAUUCUAAGAAUAAUUAAAACUUCCUUUCUUAACAUUCUUAGUGAACAACUUACAGGUUAAAAAACAAACCCAAAGAGAUUAUUUCCUGCAAAGAGCCUUUAGUAUGGUAGCACCUACUUCUAGAAGGCCUGUCAUAAACUGUCAUCUAGUGAAAGUGAUGAAGAAGAGUGGCUGGGAGUCAAUCUUAUCAGGAGCUGGAACAGGUGAAGCCCUCACCAGUGAAAAAUCUUGACAGAUGCAGCUACUAAGAUUUCCUACUACAAAGAAUAACAGCAGUUAGAAAAGCAGACUCCCUGUGGUGGCGACCAGUAUCUUCAAACUCAUACCAGAGUAAAGCCUUAUCCAUUUGGAGUUCUUUCUGAUGCAUUAUGUGAGAGAAAAACAAGCAAACAAAUGAACACUUAUUUGUAUUUGAAUUGCACUAAAUUUAUACAUGAAACUGAAAAAAACUGAUAUCUUUAUGAAGCUGCAUAAUCCUAUCCAAGGACAGACGUCUCCUUCCAUUUGCUUUUGCUUUACUAAUUUGAAUCUAUGUUAUUUGUUUUGGAUACAUCUGGAAUUGACUUUUUUGCAUGGUGUUGGUUUCUUCAACUUAUUCCACAAGAGUGAACAAGUAAGAAAUAACAGUUCUUCCUGGAUCAGCCCUCUCCCGUCUGUCAUCUCCAACAGAUACAAAGCCAGCUUUAAGAAGACCAAACCUACAAAAAUCAUUCAUGCUUUCUGCCUCCAUGUUUUUCUUUCCAACCUAGUUCCUCCAGAAAAUGUAAAAGAGCAACCGAACCGUCAACUGGUACAAUGACUUCUACACAUCAGACCUCGGCCACGCCACAGUCAUCAGAUUAUUCUAUCACAGGGUCUCUCAACCGUGGAAUAUGGUCUCCAAGGGAAACAAGCCACAGAGGGCUCAGGAGCAUUGCUAUAAAGAGUAGGCAAAUGGAAAUCUUUCCCCAAAGGGCACACUGGGAUUGUUAGGCGAGGGCUGCUCAAUCCAUUAAAAGUUUAAACUCGAAAAAAAAAAAGAAAAAAAAAACCUUUUGAAAAAAUACAGAAAGCAACCUGUUCUAGAUUUUGUGUAUAAAAGAGAGUUUAUUCAGGGGACUGAAAUGUUGACAGUGAAUCAACUGGGAGGAUAUUUUCAAUCAGAACCGUCUGACUGACAGCUUUCAUAUUAUUAAUGCACAUACUAGGAGACAUCAAAUUUGAAGGGCAGGCAUUGUGCUAAGUCAGACUUCUACCUUAAAAUGCAUUACAUUUUGUCUGUAAAUCAAGGUCAGUUAUUAAAUUAAGGUGCUCUCAUCCCUAAAUACUUUAUUCCAUCAUCGUGUGUAAUUAAUCACAAACCCCUUACUUGGGGUUCUUUAGAAAGUGAUGAGCAAAACCCAUAAAAAAUUAAGAGAAAAAAUAACAGGUAUCUUUUAAAAAACAGGGAAUAAGUGCAAGGAAAUUUAAGUAUAAGUAAAAAAAUUUGCACGAUUCUUUAAAUAGAUAAUAGAUAUAAUAAUAAUAAUUUUGCAGCCCUACAAUUCCACAGCAUAUUAAUCUUUUCAAAUCUGUUAUUUUUCACCAUUAAAACAAUCAUGUAAAACAGGUGGAGUACUUCAAUAUUCCAAUUUCACAGAUGCAUACACUGAGUCAAGGAAAAGUUAAGUAUCUAUUAAGUCAUCCAGCUUACUGGAUAUGGAACUGAGACUUGAAAGCAUAUCUUCUAAAUCCGACCUCUUCUCUAAAGAUAGUGUCACCUUUCUCCAAAGAUAGUGUCAGGACAUAGAAAGCAGAAGUUAAACUGUAUGCGCUAUUCUGCCUUCCAUACUUAUUUUUCCCAAGAAGUAAUUUAAAAAACACAUUGGAGAUAAUGCUUGUGAAGCACUUUGCUAAAUGCUAAAUUGUCCGAACACUUUGGAAAAAAGUGGCAGUUUCUUAAAAAAUUAACAAAGAAUUACCAUAUGACCCAGCAAUUCCACUCCUAGCCAUGUACUGAGGAGAACUGAAAAUAUAUGUCCAUGUAAAAACUUAGAGUUAAAUAUUUGUAGCAGCUUUAUUUAAAA
Molecule: long non-coding RNA, 5756 nt
Filed under: Homo sapiens (human)
Lineage: Eukaryota; Metazoa; Chordata; Mammalia; Primates; Hominidae
Description: non-protein coding lnc-NRIP1-2:2
Source: RNAcentral